AGCGAACGCUGGCGGCAGGCUUAACACAUGCAAGUCGAGCGGGCGUAGCAAUACGUCAGCGGCAGACGGGUGAGUAACGCGUGGGAACGUACCUUUUGGUUCGGAACAACACAGGGAAACUUGUGCUAAUACCGGAUAAGCCCUUACGGGGAAAGAUUUAUCGCCGAAAGAUCGGCCCGCGUCUGAUUAGCUAGUUGGUGAGGUAACGGCUCACCAAGGCGACGAUCAGUAGCUGGUCUGAGAGGAUGAUCAGCCACAUUGGGACUGAGACACGGCCCAAACUCCUACGGGAGGCAGCAGUGGGGAAUAUUGAACAAUGGGGGCAACCCUGAUCCAGCCAUGCCGCGUGAGUGAUGAAGGCCCUAGGGUUGUAAAGCUCUUUUGUGCGGGAAGAUAAUGACGGUACCGCAAGAAUAAGCCCCGGCUAACUUCGUG
This 435-nucleotide ribosomal RNA is filed under the name uncultured bacterium. RNAcentral's name for it is "partial 16S ribosomal RNA". It matches the Rfam family "Bacterial small subunit ribosomal RNA", at positions 29 to 507 of the family's 1533-position model. The record is from RNAcentral.